RNAcentral lists this ribosomal RNA (538 nucleotides) under uncultured bacterium. Its description in RNAcentral is "bacterial LSU rRNA". It matches the Rfam family "Bacterial large subunit ribosomal RNA", at positions 1823 to 2359 of the family's 2925-position model. The record is from RNAcentral.
CUGCAAACACGAAAGUGGACGUAUAGGGUGUGACGCCUGCCCGGUGCCGGAAGGUUAAUUGAUGGGGUCAGCGAAAGCGAAGCUCUUGAUCGAAGCCCCGGUAAACGGCGGCCGUAACAAUAACGGUCCUAAGGUAGCGAAAUUCCUUGUCGGGUAAGUUCCGACCUGCACGAAUGGCGUAACGAUGGCCACACUGUCUCCACCCGAGACUCAGUGAAAUUGAAAUCGCUGUGAAGAUGCAGUGUACCCGCGGCUAGACGGAAAGACCCCGUGAACCUUUACUACAGCUUUGCACUGAACUUUGAACCUGUUUGUGUAGGAUAGGUGGGAGGCUUUGAAGCGUGGACGCCAGUCUGCGUGGAGCCAACCUUGAAAUACCACCCUGACAGUUUUGGGGUUCUAACCCAGGUCCGUCAUCCGGAUCGGGGACAGUGUAUGGUGGGUAGUUUGACUGGGGCGGUCUCCUCCCAAAGAGUAACGGAGGAGCACGAAGGUACCCUCAGCGUGGUCGGAAAUCACGCUUUUGAGUGCAAAGGCA